GCAUAUCAAUAAGCGGAGGAAAAGAAACCAACCGGGAUUGCCCUAGUAACGGCGAGUGAAGCGGCAAGAGCUCAAAUUUGAAAGCUGGCCCCCUCGGGGUCCGCAUUGUAAUUUGCAGAGGAUGCUUCGGGAACGGCCCCCAUCUAAGUGCCCUGGAACGGGCCGUCAUAGAGGGUGAGAAUCCCGUCUGGGAUGGGGUGGCCGCGCCCGUGUGAAGCUCCUUCGACGAGUCGAGUUGUUUGGGAAUGCAGCUCUAAUUGGGUGGUAAAUUUCAUCUAAAGCUAAAUAUUGGCCGGAGACCGAUAGCGCACAAGUAGAGUGAUCGAAAGAUGAAAAGCACUUUGAAAAGAGAGUUAAACAGCACGUGAAAUUGUUGAAAGGGAAGCGCUUGCGACCAGACUCGCCCGCGGGGUUCAGCCGGCACUCGUGCCGGUGUACUUCCCCGCGGGCGGGCCAGCGUCGGUUUGGGCGGCCGGUCAAAGGCCUCUGGAAGGUAACGCCUCUCGGGGCGUCUUAUAGCCAGGGGUGCCAUGCGGCCUGCCCGGACCGAGGAACGCGCUUCGGCUCGGACGCUGGCAUAAUGGUCGUAAGCGACCCGUCUUGAAACACGGACCAAGGAGUCUAACAUCUACGCGAGUGUUCGGGUGUCAAACCCGUGCGCGCAGUGAAAGCGAACGGAGGUGGGAACCCCCCGGGGUGCACCAUCGACCGAUCCUGAUGUCUUCGGAUGGAUUUGAGUAAGAGCGUAGCUGUUGGGACCCGAAAGAUGGUGAACUAUGCCUGAAUAGGGCGAAGCCAGAGGAAACUCUGGUGGAGGCUCGCAGCGGUUCUGACGUGCAAAUCGAUCGUCAAAUUUGGGUAUAGGGGCGAAAGACUAAUCGAACCAUCUAGUAGCUGGUUCCUGCGA
This 907-nucleotide ribosomal RNA is filed under the name Penicillium citrinum. RNAcentral describes it as "LSU rRNA". It matches the Rfam family "Eukaryotic large subunit ribosomal RNA", at positions 38 to 963 of the family's 3401-position model. The record is from RNAcentral. Lineage: Eukaryota; Fungi; Ascomycota; Eurotiomycetes; Eurotiales; Aspergillaceae.